Molecule: long non-coding RNA, 406 nt
Filed under: Camponotus floridanus (Florida carpenter ant)
Lineage: Eukaryota; Metazoa; Arthropoda; Insecta; Hymenoptera; Formicidae
Description: uncharacterized LOC112638055
Source: RNAcentral
UUUCUGUUUGACUGGCUUUGUCCUCGUUAUAUUUAGUUUGUUAUUGCCGACCACACUAUGACAUGAUUACCGUUAUCGUUCAAAUUAUCGGCCCGUUCGACUGUUACCGUGUCGAUUAUUUCGUCUCGUUUUUGCUGAUUUGUCUUUUGUCUGAGUGAUGCAUCGCUCUUCGCGCUUUGUACCGCUGAGAGGGCUUUUGCAUCGUGCUUUCUCGGAUGGAUCAGCCUUGACGAAGUCGUGUCGCUCUUAUAGACCAUGCAUUCAUAAUCACUGAAGAAGGCUCGAAUUAAGUCCGAAACGUUUGGAAUAAAGCGAAUGAAUCGUUAAAAUUGAAUCACUGCUUUGGAAAUUAUUUUAUCCACGCCCCACAACUGCAUUGGCUCUUUAUUGCCUUUCAUUAUUCAUU